UACAGAGGUCUCAAGCGUUGUUCGGAUUCAUUGGGCGUAAAGGGUGCGUAGGCGGGCUGCCAAGUUUGGGGUGAAAUCCUCCGGCUCAACCGGGGAAGUGCCUUGAAUACUGGCGGUCUCGAGGGAGGUAGGGGCGUGCGGAACUAACGGUGGAGCGGUGAAAUGCGUUGAUAUCGUUAGGAACUCCGGUGGCGAAGGCGGCACGCUGGACCUCUUCUGACGCUGAGGCACGAAAGCCAGGGGAGCGAACGGG
RNAcentral lists this ribosomal RNA (253 nucleotides) under uncultured bacterium. RNAcentral describes it as "partial 16S ribosomal RNA". It matches the Rfam family "Bacterial small subunit ribosomal RNA", at positions 524 to 776 of the family's 1533-position model. The record is from RNAcentral.